This 253-nucleotide ribosomal RNA is filed under the name uncultured bacterium. RNAcentral describes it as "partial 16S ribosomal RNA". It matches the Rfam family "Bacterial small subunit ribosomal RNA", at positions 524 to 776 of the family's 1533-position model. The record is from RNAcentral.
UACGAAGGGUGCAAACGUUGCUCGGAAUCAUUGGGCGUAAAGCGCGUGUAGGCGGCUUUGCAAGUCGGAUGUGAAAGCCCACGGCUCAACCGUGGAAGUGCAUCCGAAACUGCAUGGCUGGAGUCUCGGAGAGGAAGGUGGAAUGCUUGGUGUAGAGGUGAAAUGCGCAGAUAUCGGGAAGAACACCCGUGGCGAAGGCGGUUCUCUGGGACGGUACUGACGCUGAGACGCGAAAGCGUGGGGAGCGAACAGG